GAUCAUGGCUCAGGAUAAGAACGCUAGCUACAGGCUUAACACAUGCAAGUCGAGGGGCAGCAUGUUGGUUGCUUGCAACCAACGAUGGCGACCGGCGCACGGGUGAGUAACGCGUAUCCAACCUUCCGCAUACUCGGGAAUAGCCUUUCGAAAGAAAGAUUAAUGCCCGAUGGUUUCCCGAAUCCGCAUGAGAGCGGGAAUAAAGAUUCAUCGGUAUGCGAUGGGGAUGCGUCCCA
This 236-nucleotide ribosomal RNA is filed under the name uncultured bacterium. RNAcentral's name for it is "partial 16S ribosomal RNA". It matches the Rfam family "Bacterial small subunit ribosomal RNA", at positions 15 to 240 of the family's 1533-position model. The record is from RNAcentral.